RNAcentral lists this unclassified non-coding RNA (473 nucleotides) under Hevea brasiliensis (rubber tree). The record is from RNAcentral. Lineage: Eukaryota; Viridiplantae; Streptophyta; Magnoliopsida; Malpighiales; Euphorbiaceae.
GUCUGCCUUACUUCGUUGCCGAGGCUACAAUGCCUGGGAAGUCUGGGUUUGACUUUAAUGGUGCAUCUCAAUCCUUCAACACAUUGGCUGAGUACUUGUUUGGUAAGAACACGAAGAAGGAGAGUAUGGCAAUGACGACACCCGUAAUCACUCGUAGAACUCAAUCUGAUGGGGAGAAAAUGGAAAUGACUACUCCAGUGAUAACUAAAAGGGCGGAAGAUCAGGAGAAGUGGAGGAUGUCCUUCGUCAUGCCCUCCAAGUAUGGUUCGGACUUGCCACUACCGAAGGAUUCCUCUGUUACUAUCAAAGAGGUGCCUCGGAAAACUGUUGCAGUUGUUGCUUUUUCAGGUUUUGUGAAUGACGAAGAAGUUAAAGCUCGAGAAUCAAGACUUCGAACUGCACUAAAGGGAGAUGCAGAGUUUCAGGUAAAAGAUGGUGCCUUGGUAGAAGUUGCACAGUAUAAUCCACCAUUU